GGUCGUGGUUUUGAGGCACCUUUAACCCAGAGUUCUCUUUGUUUCCUGAUUUCACAAGAAAGCCUCUGCCUGGUAGCCUGAUGUCAUUCAUUCCCAGCUGAUGAGCCACCAGGUGCAGGAUGGACAAGGGACUAGAAAUCCCAAAUGACAGAAAGGAAACUGCUCCUUUGUGGUACAGCUGAGAGCCAGUUUCCUAUGGGAGAUGAGUCACAUGCUCACGAGACUGAGAGAACAGCAUCUACAUUCCUUCACGUUCCAUCUUUCCACUGCCCUGCUUUGGCUCCUGGCCCUACGAUGACAUUGUAACUGCAGGAGCAUGUGACAAUAAAACUUCCCUAAGAGGAACUGAGGUCAAUAUGUCGCCUCUCAUCUGGUGCCUCGCAGCCACCUGUGACUACAACUCUGAGAUGUCCCUCUUCUGGCCUCUGCAG
Molecule: long non-coding RNA, 431 nt
Organism: Mus musculus (house mouse)
Lineage: Eukaryota; Metazoa; Chordata; Mammalia; Rodentia; Muridae
Product: predicted gene, 31054
Exons: 3
Source: RefSeq, a predicted model, not a curated record